RNAcentral lists this ribosomal RNA (252 nucleotides) under uncultured bacterium. RNAcentral describes it as "partial 16S ribosomal RNA". It matches the Rfam family "Bacterial small subunit ribosomal RNA", at positions 527 to 779 of the family's 1533-position model. The record is from RNAcentral.
CGGAGGUGCAAGCGUUGUCCGGAUUUAUUGGGUUUAAAGGGUGCGUAGGCGGCCGAUUAAGUCUGGGUGAAAGCCCGUUGCUCAACAACGGAACUGCCCUGGAAACUGGUCGGCUUGAGUACAGACGAGGGUGGCGGAAUGGAUGGUGUAGCGGUGAAAUGCAUAGAUACCAUCCAGAACCCCGAUUGCGAAGGCAGCUGCCUAGACUGUAACUGACGCUGAGGCACGAAAGCGUGGGGAGCGAACAGGAUU